ACCGGCGGCUCGAGUGGUGGCCACUAUUACUGGGCUUAAAGCGUUCGUAGCUGGCUUGUUAAGUCUCUGGGGAAAUCUUCCGGCUCAACCGGGAAGUGGCACGGGAUACUGGGAAGCUAGAGAAUGGGAGAGGAUGGUAGAAUUCCAGGUGUAGCGGUGAAAUCCGGAGAUACCUGGGGGACUACCGAUGGCGAAGGCAUCUCACCAGGAUGACUCCGACAGUGAGGAACGAAAGCUGGGGGAGCAAACAG
RNAcentral lists this ribosomal RNA (251 nucleotides) under uncultured prokaryote. RNAcentral's name for it is "partial 16S rRNA". It matches the Rfam family "Bacterial small subunit ribosomal RNA", at positions 525 to 775 of the family's 1533-position model. The record is from RNAcentral.